Long non-coding RNA from Ornithodoros turicata, 195 nucleotides. RefSeq lists it as uncharacterized. Lineage: Eukaryota; Metazoa; Arthropoda; Arachnida; Ixodida; Argasidae. The record is from RefSeq and is a predicted model, not a curated record. The transcript is spliced from 3 exons.
GGCAUUUCUGGCCACAUUCCUGGGCAUUUCCCAUUUUCGUUCCUGUUUCUUCGAGAAAGUGUUUGAAAGAGAGGACAUUUCUGGCCGCAUUCCUGUUCAUUUCCCAUUUUCGUUCUUGUUUGUUCGAGAAAGGGAGAACACUUCUGGCCACAUUCCUGGGCAUUUCCAUUUUUCGUGAUUGUUUCUCGAUAAAGG